AAACCAACAGGGAUUGCCUUAGUAACGGCGAGUGAAGCGGCAACAGCUCAAAUUUGAAAUCUGGCCCUUGGGUCCGAAUUGUAAUUUGUAGAGGAUGAUUUUGGUGCGGUAUCUUCCGAGUUCCUUGGAACAGGACGCCUUAGAGGGUGAGAGCCCCGUACGGUUGAAUGCCUAGCCUCUGUAAAUCUCCUUCGACGAGUCGAGUAGUUUGGGAAUGCUGCUCUAAAUGGGAGGUAAAUUUCUUCUAAAGCUAAAUAUUGGCCAGAGACCGAUAGCGCACAAGUAGAGUGAUCGAAAGAUGAAAAGCACUUUGAAAAGAGGGUUAAAUAGCACGUGAAAUUGUUGAAAGGGAAGGAUUUGUGACCAGACUUUUUCUGGGCGGAUCAUCCGGGGUUCUCUCCGGUGCACUUCGCCCAGUAAAGGCCAGCAUCGGUUUUCGGCGUGGGAUAAAAGCAGUAGGAAUGUGGCUCUCUACGGGGAGUGUUAUAGCCUAUUGUAUAAUACCGCGCUGGGGACCGAGGUUCGCGCUUCUGCAAGGAUGCUGGCGUAAUGGUUAUCAAUCACCCGUCUUGAAACACGGACCAAGGAGUCGAACAUUUGUGCGAGUGUUUGGGUGUUAAACCCUCACGCGUAAUGAAAGUGAACCGGAGGUGAGAGCCCUUACGGGUGCAUCAUCGACCGAUCCUGAAGUUUUCGGAUGGAUUUGAGUAAGAGCAUAACUGUUCGGACCCGAAAGAUGGUGAACUAUGCGUGGAUAGGGUGAAGCCAGAGGAAACUCUGGUGGAGGCUCGCAGCGGUUCUGACGUGCAAAUCGAUCGUCAAAUCUGCGCAUGGGGGCGAAA
This 842-nucleotide ribosomal RNA is filed under the name Pestalotiopsis sp. PSHI2002Endo882. Its description in RNAcentral is "LSU rRNA". It matches the Rfam family "Eukaryotic large subunit ribosomal RNA", at positions 62 to 928 of the family's 3401-position model. The record is from RNAcentral. Lineage: Eukaryota; Fungi; Ascomycota; Sordariomycetes; Amphisphaeriales; Sporocadaceae.